RNAcentral lists this ribosomal RNA (547 nucleotides) under uncultured bacterium. RNAcentral's name for it is "partial 16S ribosomal RNA". It matches the Rfam family "Bacterial small subunit ribosomal RNA", at positions 355 to 895 of the family's 1533-position model. The record is from RNAcentral.
UGGGGAAUUUUGGACAAUGGGCGAAAGCCUGAUCCAGCAAUGCCGCGUGUGUGAAGAAGGCCUUCGGGUUGUAAAGCACUUUUGUCCGGAAAGAAAUCCUUGGCUCUAAUACAGUCGGGGGAUGACGGUACCGGAAGAAUAAGCACCGGCUAACUACGUGCCAGCAGCCGCGGUAAUACGUAGGGUGCAAGCGUUAAUCGGAAUUACUGGGCGUAAAGCGUGCGCAGGCGGUUUGCUAAGACCGAUGUGAAAUCCCCGGGCUCAACCUGGGAACUGCAUUGGUAACUGGCAGGCUAGAGUAUGGCAGAGGGGGGUAGAAUUCCACGUGUAGCAGUGAAAUGCGUAGAGAUGUGGAGGAAUACCGAUGGCGAAGGCAGCCCCCUGGGCCAAUACUGACGCUCAUGCACGAAAGCGUGGGGAGCAAACAGGAUUAGAUACCCUGGUAGUCCACGCCCUAAACGAUGUCAACUAGUUGUUGGGGAUUCAUUUCCUUAGUAACGUAGCUAACGCGUGAAGUUGACCGCCUGGGGAGUACGGUCGCAAGAUU